UACGGAGGGUGCAAGCGUUAUCCGGAUUCACUGGGUUUAAAGGGUGCGUAGGUGGGCUGAUAAGUCAGCGGUGAAAUCCCCGAGCUUAACUUGGGAACUGCCAUUGAUACUAUCGGUCUUGAAUCUCGCGUAGGUAAGCGGAAUAUGUCAUGUAGCGGUGAAAUGCUUAGAUAUGACAUAGAACACCAAUUGCGAAGGCAGCUUACUUCACGAGUAUUGACACUGAGGCACGAAAGCGUGGGGAGCAAACAGG
Molecule: ribosomal RNA, 253 nt
Filed under: uncultured bacterium
Lineage: Bacteria
Description: partial 16S ribosomal RNA
Rfam family: Bacterial small subunit ribosomal RNA
Source: RNAcentral